Molecule: ribosomal RNA, 421 nt
Filed under: uncultured eukaryotic phytoplankton
Lineage: Eukaryota
Description: bacterial SSU rRNA
Rfam family: Bacterial small subunit ribosomal RNA
Source: RNAcentral
GGAAUUUUCCGCAAUGGGCGAAAGCCUGACGGAGCAAUGCCGCGUGAAGGAUGAAGGCCUAUGGGUUGUAAACUUCUUUUCUCGGAGAAGAAUUUUGACGGUAUCUGAGGAAUAAGCAUCGGCUAACUCUGUGCCAGCAGCCGCGGUAAGACAGAGGAUGCAAGCGUUAUCCGGAAUGAUUGGGCGUAAAGCGUCUGUAGGUGGUUUAUCAAGUCUUCUGUCAAAGAUCAGGGCUUAACUCUGGGCAGGCAGGAGAAACUAGUAGACUAGAGUUCGGUAGGGGCAGAGGGAAUUCCCGGUGGAGCGGUGAAAUGCGUAGAGAUCGGGAGGAACACCAAAGGCGUAAGCACUCUGCUGGGCCGCGACUGACACUGAGAGACGAAAGCGAGGGGAGCAAAUGGGAUUAGAUACCCCAGUAGUC